RNAcentral lists this ribosomal RNA (368 nucleotides) under uncultured organism. Its description in RNAcentral is "bacterial SSU rRNA". It matches the Rfam family "Bacterial small subunit ribosomal RNA", at positions 526 to 896 of the family's 1533-position model. The record is from RNAcentral.
CGUAGGUGGCAAGCGUUGUCCGGAUUUAUUGGGUUUAAAGGGUGCGUAGGCGGCUUUGUAAGUCAGUGGUGAAAUACUCCAGCUCAACUGGAGAGGUGCCAUUGAUACUGCAGAGCUAGAGUACUGAUGAGGUAGGCGGAAUGGACGGUGUAGCGGUGAAAUGCUUAGAUAUCGUCCAGAACACCGAUAGCGAAGGCUGCUUACUAAAGAGUAACUGACGCUGAGGCACGAAAGUGUGGGGAUCAAACAGGAUUAGAUACCCUGGUAGUCCACACUGUAAACGUUGAUCACUAGAUGUUGGCGAUACACUGCCAGCGUUCCAGCAAAAGCGAUAAGUGAUCCACCUGGGGAGUACGCCCGCAAGGGUG